RNAcentral lists this ribosomal RNA (305 nucleotides) under uncultured bacterium. RNAcentral describes it as "bacterial SSU rRNA". It matches the Rfam family "Bacterial small subunit ribosomal RNA", at positions 335 to 658 of the family's 1533-position model. The record is from RNAcentral.
GUCCUACGGGGGGCAGCAGUAGGGAAUUUUCGUCAAUGGGCGCAAGCCUGAACGAGCAAUGCCGCGUGAACGAAGAAGGUUUUCGGAUUGUAAACUAUUGUCGUGAGGGAAGAAAUUGACAGUACCUCAGGAGGAAGCUCCGGCUAACUAUGUGCCAGCAGCCGCGGUAAUACAUAGGGAGCAAGCGUUAUCCGGAUUUAUUGGGUGUAAAGGGUGCGUAGACGGGAAAUUAAGUUAGUUGUGAAAUCCCUCGGCUUAACAGAGGAACUGCAACUAAAACUGGUUUUCUUGAGUACUGGAGAGGA